RNAcentral lists this ribosomal RNA (269 nucleotides) under uncultured Bacteroides sp. Its description in RNAcentral is "partial 16S ribosomal RNA". It matches the Rfam family "Bacterial small subunit ribosomal RNA", at positions 73 to 339 of the family's 1533-position model. Lineage: Bacteria; Pseudomonadati; Bacteroidota; Bacteroidia; Bacteroidales; Bacteroidaceae. The record is from RNAcentral.
UCUUAGCUUGCUAAGGCCGAUGGCGACCGGCGCACGGGUGAGUAACACAUAUCCAACCUGCCGUCUACUCUUGGACAGCCUUCUGAAAGGAAGAUUAAUACAAGAUGGCAUCAUGAGUUCACAUGUUCACAUGAUUAAAGGUAUUCCGGUAGACGAUGGGGAUGCGUUCCAUUAGAUAGUAGGCGGGGUAACGGCCCACCUAGUCUUCGAUGGAUAGGGGUUCUGAGAGGUUAACCCCCACACUGGUACUGAGACACGGACCAGACUCC